Monodelphis domestica (gray short-tailed opossum) is the source of this 1560-nucleotide long non-coding RNA. Lineage: Eukaryota; Metazoa; Chordata; Mammalia; Didelphimorphia; Didelphidae. The record is from Ensembl.
UUACUUUAAGCUGUUCCAUUUUGGCCAUGAAGAUGCACUUCCUUCUUUCCGCUCUUCUCUUCUUUGUUUUGUUCUCUUCCUCAGUUUCUCUAAAACUCAUGUCCUAUGUGGUUUGUGAAACUUUCUCUAAAAACUGUACUGCUUUUAAUGAAACAACAUGUAUUAAUGGUGAAAAGAUCUGCGUUUUGCAUCUUAAAAACUGCUGUAAGACCGAAGUAUAAAAGGUCAACUCUUGGGAAAAGAAGAACUGCAGAGGUUGUUGAAUACUAUACUGAACUGUUGAGAAUUGUGAACAAAGUUAAAACUCUCAGAAUUUUUGAAACUGACCUUCCUUAUGCACAGCUGCUAUACGAAACCUAUUAUCACUUAGCAGUAGCUUAUCAAAGCUUGAAUCUCCAUAAGAAGGCCAUAGAACAAUUAAAUCUUGCAACAGAAAUUGCAUCAAUCCCUAAGAAUGGUUGUGAAGUUGGAUGUAAUUAUGAAACUUUCUAUCACACUCCAAUAUUUUCAAGAAGAGCAUUUUCUCACGUAGUCCGUGGUAAGAAGAAAGAAGCUCUACAGGAUGCUAACAAAGCUAUUAAUUUGGACAGAUUGAACCCAGAUGUGUACUGUGUCAGAGCUUUGAUCAUAAGAGGGGCAAUUACCAAUUCUCUUCAUCCUAAAACUGAAAAGAACCAUGAGAAUAAAGAUCAUGAGAAGGCUUAUAAAAUAUGCCCGAAGAGCCAGUUUUUCUUGGAUGUAACUAACUUUAAGAAUCCUAAAAUGGCAGAGUUCUAUGAUAAAUUCCUAUGGUCCCUCAACGUUCCUCAUACUGUAACAUCACUGAAUCUAUUGAGAGGAUAUGCUAGCUCUUACACAAAUUUAUCAAGAAAAAAGAUUUCACAGAAAUCGAAAAAAGUUCCCUUAAUGCCUUCUCUAUCAUCUACACCACGAACUACCAGUAGUUAUUUGAAGAGAUCAGCAACAGCAUCAUCUAAUUCUUCAAGCUUUUUGAAGAUACCCCAGUUUCUAUGAAACUCCACGGAGAGCAGAUCCAUUAUGGUUCUGCAAAAAGAGGAAGGAACUCAUAUAUGCAUUUUCAAGAAAUUUUGAAGAGUGCUCCGUAAGAACAGUGCCAUGCUGGUGUCAUCCAAGUCUUCCCUUCUGAAUAAUGUUUUCCUUCUGAAACAGUAAAAUGAAUUAAGUGUUUUAUCUUAGCCUAUUAUACUCUGGUAUCAUCCAAAUUGAUAGUUUUAUUUCUUGCUUACUUCCGGUAUGGAUCAUUGAAAGACACAAAUAAUAUGGCCAAGACUCCAGUCAAAACUGUAUAGUGAGAAUAUUACUGGGAGUGACUGUCAGCCUUGUUUCUGGAUACAUGACUGCUAAAAAGGAAUGGAAUUUUCCUAUCUAUGGGUGUUGGAGGCAUACUUCUGAUGAUCUCGCCAAGCUAUAACCAAUGUGUAUAGGACUGAACUGGGCAAAGCAACCUGUUUGUACUGGAGACCUUGAAGAAAAACAGAAGAAUAGUAGGCAAUUUUGAUAGAGAAAAAAUAAUAAUAAAAUGUCCAUAAUGUUAUUCCA